AGAUUAAAACUCAAAGGAAUAGACGGGGACCCGCACAAGUGGUGGAGCAUGUGGUUUAAUUCGAAGAUACGCGAAGAACCUUACCUAGCCUUGACAUUGAUAGAAUACCCUAGAGAUAGAGUAGUGCCCUUCGGGGAACUUGAAAACAGGUGCUGCACGGCUGUCGUCAGCUCGUGUCGUGAGAUGUUGGGUUAAGUCCCGCAACGAGCGCAACCCUCGUCCUUAGUUGCCAGCAGGUUAAGCUGGGCACUUUAAGGAGACUGCCUUCGCAAGAAGGAGGAAGGUGAGGACGACGUCAAGUCAUCAUGGCCCUUAUGGCUAGGGCUACACACGUGCUACAAUGGGGCGUACAGAGAGUUGCGAUACCGCGAGGUGGAGCCAAUCUCAUAAAGCGUCUCUCAGUUCGGAUUGAAGUCUGCAACUCGACUUCAUGAAGCUGGAAUCACUAGUAAUCGUAGAUCAGCAAUGCUACGGUGAAUACGUUCCCGGGUCUUGUACUCACCGCCCGUCACACCAUGGGAGUUGAUUUCACCCGAAAUUGGGAAGCUAACCUUCGGGAGGCUACCACUUACGGUGGAAUUAGCGACUGGGGUGAAGUCGUAACAAGGUAACC
This 613-nucleotide ribosomal RNA is filed under the name uncultured bacterium. Its description in RNAcentral is "bacterial SSU rRNA". It matches the Rfam family "Bacterial small subunit ribosomal RNA", at positions 891 to 1501 of the family's 1533-position model. The record is from RNAcentral.